GCUAUGAUGACAGCGUGGUGUUGAUCGUUGAUGAUGUUGCCAGAAUUUGUCCUCUAAGAAGUUCUGAGCUC
Scleropages formosus (Asian bonytongue) is the source of this 71-nucleotide small nucleolar RNA. Ensembl annotates it as small nucleolar RNA SNORD61. Lineage: Eukaryota; Metazoa; Chordata; Actinopteri; Osteoglossiformes; Osteoglossidae. The record is from Ensembl.